This 501-nucleotide ribosomal RNA is filed under the name uncultured bacterium. RNAcentral describes it as "partial 16S ribosomal RNA". It matches the Rfam family "Bacterial small subunit ribosomal RNA", at positions 28 to 523 of the family's 1533-position model. The record is from RNAcentral.
GUUGAACGCUGGCGGCAUGCCUUACACAUGCAAGUCGAACGGCAGCACGGGUGCUUGCACCUGGUGGCGAGUGGCGAACGGGUGAGUAAUAUAUCGGAACGUACCUUAUUGUGGGGGAUAACGCAGCGAAAGCUGUGCUAAUACCGCAUAAUCCCUAAGGGGGAAAGCGGGGGACCGUAAGGCCUCGCGCAAUUAGAGCGGCCGAUACCUGAUUAGCUAGUUGGUGAGGUAAAGGCUCACCAAGGCAACGAUCAGUAGCUGGUCUGAGAGGACGAUCAGCCACACUGGGACUGAGACACGGCCCAGACUCCUACGGGAGGCAGCAGUGGGGAAUUUUGGACAAUGGGGGCAACCCUGAUCCAGCAAUGCCGCGUGAGUGAAGAAGGCCUUCGGGUUGUAAGGCUCUUUUGUCAGGGAAGAAACAGCAGCUCUAACACAGUAUGCGAAUGACGGUACCUGAAGAAUAAGCACCGGCUAACUACGUGCCAGCCGCCGCAGUAA